AUUUAUAUAGUUUAACUUAAAACACUUCAUUUUCAAUGAAGAAAUAAAUUUAUUUUUAUAAAUA
Molecule: transfer RNA, 64 nt
Filed under: Alloeorhynchus bakeri
Lineage: Eukaryota; Metazoa; Arthropoda; Insecta; Hemiptera; Nabidae
Description: tRNA-Glu
Rfam family: tRNA
About the family: Transfer RNA (tRNA) molecules are approximately 80 nucleotides in length. Their secondary structure includes four short double-helical elements and three loops (D, anti-codon, and T loops).
Source: RNAcentral